UGGGGAAUAUUGGACAAUGGGCGGAAGCCUGAUCCAGCCAUGCCGCGUGUGUGAAGAAGGCCUUUUGGUUGUAAAGCACUUUAAGCGAGGAGGAGGCUACUUGGAUUAAUACUCUAGGAUAGUGGACGUUACUCGCAGAAUAAGCACCGGCUAACUCUGUGCCAGCAGCCGCGGUAAUACAGAGGGUGCGAGCGUUAAUCGGAUUUACUGGGCGUAAAGCGUGCGUAGGCGGCUUCUUAAGUCGGAUGUGAAAUCCCUGAGCUUAACUUAGGAAUUGCAUUCGAUACUGGGAAGCUAGAGUAUGGGAGAGGAUGGUAAAAUUCCAGGUGUAGCGGUGAAAUGCGUAGAGAUCUGGAGGAAAACCGAUGGCGAAGGCAGCCAUCUGGCCUAAUACUGACGCUGAGGUACGAAAGCAUGGGGAGCAAACAGG
Molecule: ribosomal RNA, 430 nt
Filed under: Acidobacteriota bacterium
Lineage: Bacteria; Pseudomonadati; Acidobacteriota
Description: Acidobacteria bacterium partial 16S ribosomal RNA
Rfam family: Bacterial small subunit ribosomal RNA
Source: RNAcentral